CACACUAGUUCCCGCACCUUCUUCUCUCUUAUUUCCAAAUUUCUAUCACUGGAUUUUUUCAAAGUUUAUUCAUUUGUAGAAUUCUUGCCAAGGUUGUCCGUUUGUCUAAUUCGUCUCUGGUAUAAGCUCUCAGUUGUGGUACGUUUUUUCUCCAAUUAAUCUUUUUUUUGUUUGACUUAUUUGUGGAAAAACGUUUGCUAGAUUCUUAAAUGUGUAUCACUCUAUCAGUAUUUUUAUCUGAAAUUCACAUGCAUGUCUAGAUAGAUACUCCAAUGAGUAAUUUUGAAUAACUCUUAUUUGAUUUCUCUUUUGAUUAAUUCUCUAAUGGUGUCUGCUUGAGAAAUUACUGACCAAAAUCCUUUAAUGGCGUUUGUCAGUAUUCGCUUUGGUUACAAACUAAUUACUGCCAAAUUAAUCCAUUUUACAGAAAAUUUAUAGUGAUUAUGGGUAAAUUGGUAGUUGACAUUACUCUAGAAACACUAAUACUGUGAUGAAUUUAUCUAUGCAAAGGGAAUAAAUGUUGAAGAAGAAUGUUUGAGAAGCACUUGAAAAUAUGAGGUUCUAAUGAGUUGAUUGUCACUAAAACAACAUUGUGCACACUAAUUUACGCAAGGUGUUUGACAUAUGGCUGAAAGUUGAAACAACUGAAUAAUUUAUUUUUUUUACAGGUAUUCUAGAACAGAGUCCUCUGGAAGGUACAUUAUUUACUUCUACUCAGUUGUAUCAGUAAACAAUACAUGUGGUAUUUAUCACUGUGCUUAUCAAUCUUUCUAUGAGGUAUAAUAUGUGUUUUUGGAUUGAAUUGCUGGAUUUUAUUUGCAUUGACUUUCUGAUCUUUUAGGUUAUGUUAAAGUAUGAAUGUUGAAUUAAAUUCGUAAGAUUUAAAGAAAACUAUAAUCAAGCAUGUGUGUGCUUACAAUGGAACAUGGAGGUGCACAAGGAUGAUAAGAAGAAAAUGGAAUGACGAAUGAGAGAAAAUGAAAAGUGAUGCUGAGCCAACUUAUAUAUUUGAUAGAAUUCAAAGAAGCUGCGGCGAAAUUGCUUAUUAGUACAUAACUAGGAUACAACGAGAGUGAAUCUUUUUACUUUAUUUAUUUCUACUAUAUUUAUUUAUCUAAUGACAUGAUUUACCAUUAUAUAGGUUGAUAUAGUCAGAGGAGAACUGAAAACCAGCAUUUACAGAGAGGGGAGCUUGAACUUGAAUUUCAUGCCACCAAGAAACAAAUGAACAAUGUAAAGAGCAGUGAUGCUGAUUGGAAAAGUUUUUAACAACUUUACAAUGUGACAUGAAUUCUCAAAUAUAAGACCCAUUUAGGUUUCUAAUUAUUUCAAUACCUAUGUGUACAUGCAUCUAGAGGGAAAAGGGAAAAGUCUUCAAGAAGCGAGUGAGCGAAUACAAUGAUCUAUUAUUACACCUCAAUGAUAUAGGUUAAAAUUUUAUUGUUGUUGAUCUAUUAUUACACCUCACCAGUUUGUUACUAUUAACUAUUAUAUUCCGAACCUUUUCUCAGAUGGAGAAUCUUGAUCACAAGAAGAGGAUCCUUAUCAAAAAUCAUUAGAAGAGUGUCAUCGAAAUAAAGAAGUUGUCCAGUCAGAAAAACCUCCAACAUCAUUAUAAUUUAAGGUUAGUACUUUUGUAACAAAGCUUAGACUUACCAUACUCUCAAGAUCAUCCUUCAUAAAAAUGUUAUUUUUCGCAACAGCACUCAUCCUCAUUGGUUUUUUAUAUACAUCACAGGAAGAGAAUAAUUUAUUGAAAAAUUAGAAUUAUGACCUUGUUAAGCUGCAUAAACUGAAGCAAUUCAUUGGAGAGUCAGGGAAGACCUGGCUUACUUCCGUCAAACUAAUCCUCUAUAUAUAUUAAUAGAGCUAAUAUUGGAGAACAAGUUGAAGGUUAGUUCUUUUUAGAAUUUAAUUGUCUAGGAGGAAUUUCAAUGUGACUUUGGGACAUGAUUCAAAUGUUUCAUAUUUGUUGAUACAUUUAACCGUGCACUUUUAGUUAAUUGCAGUUCAUUUUAUCAAAAGUCACAUCAUGUGGUACUACAGAAGAAAGCUGGUUCUUCUUUCCUAUCACGCACCAGAGAGGAAGUGAAGCAAUUGCUACUUAGCUUGAGGGCAAAUGAUGUUGGCGUUGUAAUUUGAGAAUGGAACAUUUAGGAAAUACUUUGUGAUCUCAAAACUUACCAGAAUGUUAAACUAGAAAUGUUUGAAGUAUCUUAUAUGAUCGAAUAAUUGAGUUAGUUGCUUAUCCAUUCUCAAAGUUCAUUUACAUGCCUUUUUUU
This 2282-nucleotide long non-coding RNA is filed under the name Nicotiana tabacum (common tobacco). RNAcentral's name for it is "long non-coding RNA (NTAB_LNC001246)". Lineage: Eukaryota; Viridiplantae; Streptophyta; Magnoliopsida; Solanales; Solanaceae. The record is from RNAcentral.